AACGAACGCUGGCGGCAGGCUUAACACAUGCAAGUCGAACGGGUGUAGCAAUACAUCAGUGGCAGACGGGUGGGUAACACGUGGGAACCUUCCUAGGGGUACGGAACAACUCAGGGAAACUUGAGCUAAUACCGUAUACGUCCGUGAGGAGAAAGAUUUAUCGCCCUUAGACGGGCCCGCGUCGGAUUAGCUAGUUGGUGGGGUAACGGCCUACCAAGGCGACGAUCCGUAGCUGAUCUUAGAGGAUGAUCAGCCACACUGGGACUGAGACACGGCCCAGACUCCUACGGGAGGCAGCAGUGGGGAAUCUUGGACAAUGGGCGCAAGCCUGAUCCAGCCAUGCCGCGUGAGUGAAGAAGGUCUUCGGAUUGUAAAGCUCUUUUGCCAGGGACGAUAAUGUCGGUACCUGGAGAAUAAGCCCCGGCAAACUUCGUGCCAGCCGCCGCGGUAA
This 451-nucleotide ribosomal RNA is filed under the name uncultured bacterium. Its description in RNAcentral is "partial 16S ribosomal RNA". It matches the Rfam family "Bacterial small subunit ribosomal RNA", at positions 29 to 523 of the family's 1533-position model. The record is from RNAcentral.